Molecule: ribosomal RNA, 1578 nt
Filed under: Triticum aestivum (bread wheat)
Lineage: Eukaryota; Viridiplantae; Streptophyta; Magnoliopsida; Poales; Poaceae
Description: partial small subunit ribosomal RNA
Source: RNAcentral
AUGGCCGAGCUAGCUCCACUCUCCAUGCUCUUCCUUGGCCUGCUUGUCGUCGUCCCCGUGCUCUACCUCAUCCGGUCGUCCCGCCGGCAUGAGGAGGGAAGCAGCCGGCCGCGGCCCCCGCCGUCGCCGUGGGCGCUGCCGGUCAUCGGCCACCUCCACCACGUCGCCGGCGCGCUCCCGCACCGCGCGAUGCUGGGCCUGUCGCGCCGCCACGGCCCGCUCAUGCUGCUCCGCCUCUGCGAGCUCCGCGUCGUCGUCGCCUCCUCGGCCGACGCCGCGCGGGAGAUCAUGAAGACCCAGGACCUGGCGUUCGCGUCGCGGCCCAUGACCCCGACGGGGACGGCCCUCCUCGGCGACAGCCUGGGCAUCGUGUUCGCGCCCUACGGCGACGCGUGGCGGCAGCUCCGCAAGAUCUGCCCCCUCGAGCUCUUCACCUCCCGCCGCGUCAGGUCCUUCCGGCCCGUGCGCGAGGAGGAGGUCGCGCGGCUGCUCCGGUCGGUGGCGGUGGCGCCGUCUCCGUCUCCGUCGUCGGCGGUGAACCUGAGCGAGCGGAUCAGCGCGUACGUCGCGGACUCGUCGGUGCGCGCCGUCAUCGGCAGACGGUUCAAGGACCGCGGCGCGUUCCUCCGGAUGCUGGAGCGGAGGAUGAAGCUCGCGCCGGCGCAGUCCCUGCCGGACCUCUUCCCGUCGUCGCGGCUCGCGAUGCUCGUCAGCCGGAUGCCGCGCGAGAUGAAGCGGGAGCGCCGGGAGAUGAGGGACUUCAUCGACGCCAUCAUCCAGGAGCAUCAAGAGAACAACCCGGCCGGCGCCGGCGCCGACGGCGACGACUUUCUCGACGUCCUCCUGAGGAUCCAGGGAGAGGGGAAGCUCGAUCCUCCCCUCACCACCGACGACAUCAAGGCAGUCAUCGUCGACAUCUUCAUAGCGAGCAGCGAGACGUCGGCGACGGCGCUGCAGUGGGCCAUGGCGGAGCUGAUGAGGAACCCGAGGGUGAUGCGCAAGGCGCAGGAGGAGGUCCGGCGAGCUCUCGACGGGCGCGACAGGGUCACGGAGGAGAGCCUGGCGGGCCUGCGCUACCUGGACCUCGUCAUCAAGGAGGUGCUCCGGCUGCACCCGCCGGCGCCGAUGCUGCUCCCCCGCGAGUGCCGGGCCCCGUGCCGGGUCCUCGGCUUCGACGUGCCGGCGGGCGCCAUGGUGCUCGUCAACGCGUGGGCGAUCGGCAGGGACCCGGCGCACUGGGACUCGCCGGAGGAGUUCUCGCCGAAGAGGUUCGAGGGCGGCGGCGUCGACUUCAAGGGCACGGACUUCGAGUACAUCCCGUUCGGCGCCGGGCGGCGGAUGUGCCCCGGGAUGGCGUUCGGGCUGGCCAACAUGGAGCUCGCGCUCGCCAGCCUUCUCUACCACUUCGACUGGGAGCUGCCGGACGGGACGGUGCCCGGGGAGCUGGACAUGGCCGAGCUGAUGGGGCUCACCACGCGGCGGCGCUCCGACCUCCUGCUCGUCCCGGCGAUCCGCGUGCCAGUGCCAAAGCAAAAUUUGCAAGCGCCAAGCGAAAAUUCUUUCGGCAUGAAGCCUUAG